Molecule: ribosomal RNA, 658 nt
Filed under: uncultured Streptococcus sp.
Lineage: Bacteria; Bacillati; Bacillota; Bacilli; Lactobacillales; Streptococcaceae
Description: bacterial SSU rRNA
Rfam family: Bacterial small subunit ribosomal RNA
Source: RNAcentral
GACGAACGCUGGCGGCGUGCCUAAUACAUGCAAGUAGAACGCUGAAGAGAGGAGCUUGCUCUUCUUGGAUGAGUUGCGAACGGGUGAGUAACGCGUAGGUAACCUGCCUUGUAGCGGGGGAUAACUAUUGGAAACGAUAGCUAAUACCGCAUAACAAUGGAUGACACAUGUCAUUUAUUUGAAAGGGGCAAUUGCUCCACUACAAGAUGGACCUGCGUUGUAUUAGCUAGUAGGUGAGGUAAUGGCUCACCUAGGCGACGAUACAUAGCCGACCUGAGAGGGUGAUCGGCCACACUGGGACUGAGACACGGCCCAGACUCCUACGGGAGGCAGCAGUAGGGAAUCUUCGGCAAUGGGGGCAACCCUGACCGAGCAACGCCGCGUGAGUGAAGAAGGUUUUCGGAUCGUAAAGCUCUGUUGUAAGUCAAGAACGGGUGUGAGAGUGGAAAGUUCACACUAUGACGGUAGCUUACCAGAAAGGGACGGCUAACUACGUGCCAGCAGCCGCGGUAAUACGUAGGUCCCGAGCGUUGUCCGGAUUUAUUGGGCGUAAAGCGAGCGCAGGCGGUUUGAUAAGUCUGAAGUAAAAGGCUGUGGCUUAACCAUAGUAUGCUUUGGAAACUGUCAAACUUGAGUGCAGAAGGGGAGAGUGGAAUUC